GUGUGAAAGCUCCUUUGACGAGUCGAGUUGUUUGGGAAUGCAGCUCAAAAUGGGUGGUAAAUUUCAUCUAAAGCUAAAUAUUGGCCAGAGACCGAUAGCGCACAAGUAGAGUGAUCGAAAGAUGAAAAGCACUUUGGAAAGAGAGUCAAACAGUACGUGAAAUUGUUGAAAGGGAAGCGCUUGCAACCAGACUUGCCCGCAGGUGAUCAGCCGGUAUUCUUACUGGUGCACUCGCCCGUGGUCAGGCCAGCAUCGGUUCGGACGGCUGGAUAAAGUCCACUGGAAUGUAGCUCCUCUCGGGGAGUGUUAUAGCCAGAGGUGCCAUGCAGCCCGCCCGGACCGAGGACCGCGCUUCGGCUAGGAUGCUGGCGUAAUGGUUGUAAGCGACCCGUCUUGAAACACGGACCAAGGAGUCUAACAUCUAUGCGAGUGUUUGGGUGUCAAACCCAUGCGCGUAAUGAAAGUGAACGGAGGUGGGAACCCUCAAGGGUGCACCAUCGACCGAUCCUGAUGUCUUCGGAUGGAUUUGAGUAAGAGCAUAGCUGUUGGGACCCGAAAGAUAACUAUGCCUGAAUAGGGUGAAGCCAGAGGAAACUCGCAGCGGUUCUGACGUGCAAAUCCGAUCGUCAAAUUUGGGUAU
Molecule: ribosomal RNA, 640 nt
Filed under: Acarospora sp. EH-2022v
Lineage: Eukaryota; Fungi; Ascomycota; Lecanoromycetes; Acarosporales; Acarosporaceae
Description: partial large subunit ribosomal RNA
Rfam family: Eukaryotic large subunit ribosomal RNA
Source: RNAcentral